Molecule: long non-coding RNA, 286 nt
Organism: Magnolia sinica
Lineage: Eukaryota; Viridiplantae; Streptophyta; Magnoliopsida; Magnoliales; Magnoliaceae
Exons: 2
Source: RefSeq, a predicted model, not a curated record
AUUUUCAGUUGAAUGUGGACAAUCAUCGUAUUUCCCUUCUUACUCGUCCAUCUUCAGUACACAAAUCGAGAGGUUAUGAUUGUCUUAUAGAGGAGCUUUUGGGGGCAUAGUCCAUCCAUAGGAGCAACAGAUUAAUGGUUUGGAUUACCUGAAUGUGGGCUCAACUUGUCAGAUUUAAAAAUGUAUCCUAUGCAAAGAGCAUUGCCUCUCCGUAUGCUAGAAAUUUCACCGAAGCGAUAACAUCAGGCCUCUUUACAGCGCGCGCGCGCGCGCCCGCGCGCACACA